Molecule: microRNA precursor, 91 nt
Filed under: Canis lupus familiaris (dog)
Lineage: Eukaryota; Metazoa; Chordata; Mammalia; Carnivora; Canidae
Also listed under: 1 other name
Description: mir-8799 microRNA precursor family
Rfam family: mir-8799 microRNA precursor family
Source: Rfam by way of RNAcentral
GGGGAGCGGCCGUAUCCUGGGCUGUGUCCUGGCGCCCAGUGCUCCCGGGCCUGCGCUGUUGGAUUCGCGCUCCCGGGCCACGCAGCCCCCU